This 976-nucleotide ribosomal RNA is filed under the name uncultured organism. RNAcentral describes it as "bacterial SSU rRNA". It matches the Rfam family "Bacterial small subunit ribosomal RNA", at positions 502 to 1469 of the family's 1533-position model. The record is from RNAcentral.
UUCGUGCCAGCAGCCGCGUUAAUACGAAGGUGGCAAGCGUUAUUCGGAAUCAUUGGGCUUAAAGGGCACGCAGGCGGAACAGUGUGUGUUGUGUGAAAUCCCCCGGCUUAACCGGGGAAUUGCACAGCAAACUGCUGUUCUUGAGGCAGGUAGGGGUGCAUGGAACUCUUGGUGGANCGGUGGAAUGCGUAGAUAUCAAGAGGAACGCCAGAGGUGAAGACGGUGCACUGGGCCUGUCCUGACGCUGAGGUGCGAAAGCGUGGGGAGCGAACGGGAUUAGAUACCCCGGUAGUCCACGCCGUAAACGAUGUCUACUAGGUCGUGGGUGUUCUGACACAUUCACGGCCGGAGCAAAAGUGUUUAGUAGACCGCCUGGGGAGUACGGCCGCAAGGUUAAAACUCAAAUGAAUUGACGGGGGCUCACACAAGCGGUGGAGCAUGUGGAUUAAUUCGAAGCAACGCGCAGAACCUUACCUGGGUUUGACAUGCUUGUAUGCCUUCUCUGAAAGGAGUUAGGCUGCCUUCGGGUGAAACUUGCACAGGUGCUGCAUGGCUGUCGUCAGCUCGUGUCGUGAGAUGUCGGGUUAAGUCCUUUAACGAGCGAAACCCUUGCCGUUAGUUGCCAGCGAGUAAUGUCGGGGACUCUAACGGGACUGCCGGUGUUAAACCGGAGGAAGGUGGGGAUGACGUCAAGUCCUCAUGGCCUUUAUGCCCAGGGCUUCACACGUGCUACAAUGGCAAUUACAGAGCGACGCGAUACCGCGAGGUGGAGCAAAUCGCAAAAAAAUUGCCUCAGUUCGGAUUGCAGGCUGGCAAUUCGCCUGCAUGAAGUCGGAAUCGCUAGUAAUCGCGUAUCAGCAAUGACGCGGUGAAUGUGUUCCUGAGCCUUGUACACACCGCCCGUCAAGUGAUGGAAGCCGGGAGUACCCGAAGUCGGGUUGCUAACCUUUGGGAGGCGCCUGCCGACGGUAAGUUC